AGCCCUGUGGUGUAGCGGUCAAGCACGUCGGGCUCUGGACCCGAAAACCCCGGUUCAAAUCCGGGCAGGGCUA
RNAcentral lists this transfer RNA (73 nucleotides) under Candidatus Rehaiarchaeum fermentans. RNAcentral describes it as "tRNA-Gln". It matches the Rfam family "tRNA". From Rfam's summary of the family: Transfer RNA (tRNA) molecules are approximately 80 nucleotides in length. Their secondary structure includes four short double-helical elements and three loops (D, anti-codon, and T loops). The record is from RNAcentral. Lineage: Archaea; Nanobdellati; Candidatus Parvarchaeota.